This 433-nucleotide ribosomal RNA is filed under the name uncultured bacterium. Its description in RNAcentral is "partial 16S ribosomal RNA". It matches the Rfam family "Bacterial small subunit ribosomal RNA", at positions 29 to 507 of the family's 1533-position model. The record is from RNAcentral.
AACGAACGCUGGCGGCAGGCUUAACACAUGCAAGUCGAGCGAGACCUUCGGGUCUAGCGGCGGACGGGUGAGUAACGCGUGGGAACGUGCCCUUCCCUACGGAAUAGCCCCGGGAAACUGGGAGUAAUACCGUAUACGCCCUUUGGGGGAAAGAUUUAUCGGAGAAGGAUCGGCCCGCGUUGGAUUAGGUAGUUGGUGGGGUAAUGGCCCACCAAGCCGACGAUCCAUAGCUGGUUUGAGAGGAUGAUCAGCCACACUGGGACUGAGACACGGCCCAGACUCCUACGGGAGGCAGCAGUGGGGAAUCUUAGACAAUGGGGGCAACCCUGAUCUAGCCAUGCCGCGUGAGUGAUGAAGGCCUUAGGGUUGUAAAGCUCUUUCAGCUGGGAAGAUAAUGACGGUACCAGCAGAAGAAGCCCCGGCUAACUCCGUG